Molecule: ribosomal RNA, 372 nt
Filed under: uncultured bacterium
Lineage: Bacteria
Description: bacterial SSU rRNA
Rfam family: Bacterial small subunit ribosomal RNA
Source: RNAcentral
UACGAAGGGGGCUAGCGUUGCUCGGAAUUACUGGGCGUAAAGGGCGCGUAGGCGGACAGUUUAGUCAGAGGUGAAAGCCCAGGGCUCAACCUUGGAAUUGCCUUUGAUACUGGCUGUCUUGAGUUCGGGAGAGGUGAGUGGAAUGCCGAGUGUAGAGGUGAAAUUCGUAGAUAUUCGGCGGAACACCAGUGGCGAAGGCGACUCACUGGCCCGAUACUGACGCUGAGGCGCGAAAGCGUGGGGAGCAAACAGGAUUAGAUACCCUGGUAGUCCACGCCGUAAACGAUGAGUGCUAGUUGUCGGCAUGCAUGCAUGUCGGUGACGCAGCUAACGCAUUAAGCACUCCGCCUGGGGAGUACGGUCGCAAGAUUA